Molecule: long non-coding RNA, 249 nt
Filed under: Lathyrus oleraceus (garden pea)
Lineage: Eukaryota; Viridiplantae; Streptophyta; Magnoliopsida; Fabales; Fabaceae
Description: Pisum sativum (pea) long non-coding RNA (PSAT_LNC030191)
Source: RNAcentral
AAAACAUGUCUUUUUCAUUUGCCUAACUCUUUUGUAGGAAAGGCAUGAUCCCAUUGAUUCACCAAGUUCACAUCUAGGGUUUGAGACCCUCAUAAACAAAGAGCACAACCAUGGAUUGAUCCAAGAAUGGUUAUGAGCAUCAUAUAUGAGUCCCAAUGUUCUCUACAUGUUAUAUUGAUCAAGUUUUCUUCAAGAGUUUGAGGGUGAUUUGUCUUGGAAACCCUAGUUUGACUGGGUAUCUUGAGUAAC